RNAcentral lists this ribosomal RNA (494 nucleotides) under uncultured bacterium. RNAcentral's name for it is "partial 16S ribosomal RNA". It matches the Rfam family "Bacterial small subunit ribosomal RNA", at positions 28 to 507 of the family's 1533-position model. The record is from RNAcentral.
GACGAACGCUGGCGGCGUGCUUAACACAUGCAAGUCGAACGGUGAAGCGCCUUCCUUUUUGGUGGGUGUGGAUGAGUGGCGAACGGGUGAGUAACACGUGAGUAACCUGCCCCCUUCUUCUGGAUAACCGCAUGAAAGUGUGGCUAAUACGGGAUAUUCUGGGUCUGUCGCAUGAUGGGUCUGGGAAAGAUAUUGUUUCGGUGGGGGAUGGGCUCGCGGCCUAUCAGCUUGUUGGUGGGGUGAUGGCCUACCAAGGCGGUGACGGGUAGCCGGCCUGAGAGGGUGGACGGUCACACUGGGACUGAGACACGGCCCAGACUCCUACGGGAGGCAGCAGUGGGGAAUAUUGCACAAUGGGCGCAAGCCUGAUGCAGCGACGCCGCGUGAGGGAUGGAGGCCUUCGGGUUGUGAACCUCUUUCGCCAGUGAAGCAGGCCUGCCUCGUUUGUGGGUGGGUUGACGGUAGCUGGACAAGAAGCGCCGGCUAACUACGUG